CAGUGCGCAUGUGCCGGAGGGGGAACCGUCACCAGCAGGGAAGCAACGCGUGCGCUGGGACAUGCGCCAUGCGGUCGCGGGGUGAUCCGCUGCUGGGAAUUGCGGCCGCCCGUGCUUGCCGUAGUGUGGGCUGUACCAAGCCCCUCUCCUCAGGCGGGGGAGCGGGGGUCGGACACUGACAGCGCGUCGGGGCCUGUCGCCCCACGUCCAUCGCGUCGCCGGCGGGGAGGCCCCGGGGACGGCGGUGCGCAGCGCAGCAGCGCGGCGGGUUAACACUAAAGCCCCACAAUGUCCUUGAAACCACGAGUAGUUGACUUUGAUGAAACAUGGAACAAACUUCUAACAACAAUUAAAGCUGUUGUUAUGUUGGACUAUGUUGAAAGAGCAACGUGGAAUGAUCGCUUCUCAGACAUUUAUGCUUUGUGUGUGGCCUAUCCUGAGCCUCUUGGAGAGAGACUUUAUACUGAGACUAAAAUUUUUUUGGAAAAUCAUGUACGCCAUUUGCACAAGAGAGUUCUGGAAGCUGAAGAACAAGUACUGGUUAUGUAUCACAGAUACUGGGAGGAGUAUAGCAAAGGGGCAGACUAUAUGGACUGUUUAUACAGGUACCUCAACACACAGUUUAUUAAGAAGAACAAAUUGACUGAAGCCGAUCUUCAGUAUGGUUAUGGAGGGGUGGAUAUGAAUGAACCAUUGAUGGAAAUAGGAGAGCUAGCUCUUGAUAUGUGGAGAAAAUUAAUGAUUGAGCCACUGCAGGCUAUCCUUAUCCGGAUGCUCCUCCGAGAAAUAAAAAACCCAAGCACUCCUCCUACAAGGCAAGCUGAAUCUCAACUUACGCAUUUUUGUUUCAACACAACAGGAAGCCGUCAAGAUCUUGAAUUUGAUCGCUGUGGAGAAGACCCAAACCAGAAAGUAAUCCAUGGGGUUAUUAACUCCUUUGUUCAUGUUGAACAGUAUAAGAAAAAAUUCCCCCUAAAGUUUUAUCAGGAAAUUUUUGAGUGUCCUUUUCUGAGUGAAACAGGGGAGUAUUAUAAACAAGAAGCUUCAAAUUUAUUGCAAGAGUCAAAUUGCUCACAAUACAUGGAGAAGGUUUUGGGUAGAUUAAAAGAUGAAGAAAUGCGGUGUCGGAAAUAUUUGCAUCCCAGCUCAUAUGGCAAAGUAAUUCAUGAAUGCCAACAGAGAAUGGUAGCUGAUCACUUGCAGUUUCUACAUGCAGAAUGUCACAAUAUUAUCAGACAGGAGAAAAGAAGUGACAUGGCUAAUAUGUAUACUCUGCUUCGUGCUGUGUCAAGUGGUUUACCUCAUAUGAUUCAGGAACUACAAAACCAUAUCCAUGAUGAGGGCCUUAGAGCAACCAGCAAUCUUUCUCAGGAAAAUAUGCCAACUCAGUUUGUGGAGUCAGUUUUGGAAGUACAUAGUAAAUUUGUUCAGCUCAUCAACACUGUUUUGAAUGGUGAUCAACACUUUAUGAGUGCCCUUGACAAGGCUUUGACAUCAGUAGUUAACUAUAGGGAGCCGAAGUCAAUCUGCAAAGCACCUGAGUUGCUGGCCAAGUACUGUGACAACUUGUUGAAGAAAUCAGCAAAGGGAAUGACAGAGAAUGAAGUGGAAGACAAACUUACAAGUUUCAUUACUGUUUUCAAAUACAUUGAUGACAAAGAUGUAUUCCAAAAGUUCUAUGCCAGAAUGUUGGCAAAAAGAUUAAUUCAUGGUUUGUCUAUGUCUAUGGAUUCUGAAGAAGCCAUGAUUAACAAACUAAAGCAAGCCUGUGGUUAUGAAUUUACCAGCAAGCUCCAUCGAAUGUAUACAGACAUGAGUGUUAGUGCUGAUCUCAACAAUAAAUUCAACAACUUUAUCAAAAACCAGGACACGAUUAUAGAUUUGGGAAUUAGUUUUCAGAUAUAUGUUCUACAGGCUGGUGCAUGGCCUCUAACUCAGGCUCCUUCUUCUACGUUUGCAAUUCCUCAGGAACUGGAAAAAAGUGUACAGAUGUUUGAAUUAUUUUACAGUCAACAUUUUAGUGGAAGGAAGCUUACUUGGUUACAUUAUCUUUGUACAGGUGAAGUAAAAAUGAAUUAUUUGUGCAAACCUUAUGUAGCCAUGGUCACAACAUACCAAAUGGCAGUGUUGCUUGCCUUCAACAACAGUGAAACUGUCAGUUACAAGGAGCUUCAGGAUAGUACACAAAUGAACGAGAAGGAACUGACAAAAACCAUCAAAUCCUUGCUUGAUGUUAAAAUGAUCAACCAUGACUCAGACAAGGAAGACAUAGAGGCAGAGUCUACGUUUUCAUUAAAUAUGAGCUUCAGCAGUAAACGAACAAAAUUUAAAAUUACUACAUCAAUGCAGAAAGACACACCACAGGCAAGUAUUCUUUGGUGUUUGAAGCUUGAACAGACUAGGAAGGUUAUUGUUCUAAUAUUGAAUUUAUUGUAUUCACUUGGUGUAAGCAGAUGUAAGAGUUCCUGUGUAAGAUUUAAAUUUAAAGCUUAAGCAGUGGUUGGGUUUUUGUACUUAAAAUAUAGGCAGGAGAAGAUAGAAUAGGGAAUAAGAAAGUGGAAGAAAAAUAUAAACAAGAACUGGUCUUCUGGUGCUAAGGGGGAUUGACAUUUAGCUUGUCUUAGCUAAUGAGACUUUUUUUGUUGGUGGUGUUUAUAAAAGCAAUUUAUUCCAGGAGCAGCAGAACCAAUGAAGUCUGUUUUCCUAUGGUUUUAUGUCCUUUGGUAACUAAAAUUAACUCCAGUUUUGAUAAUCCAUGUUCCUUCUGUAUCUCCUAAAACGUAGGAUUUUGUACAAGAGGUGUACAUGCUGCCAAACUCAAUACUUUAUAAUAAAUUCUGCCUGCCUUUCUCCCUAGCGAAAACACUGGUUUGGAUGUGUCUCUCCUACCUCCCUAACUUUCAUGAAACCUGCUAUUCUUGAUAUAUGGAAGUACUUUGCCUGGAAUUGAACUUCACCUAGAUUUGUUUUUUUAUUAAUUCGCCACUUUUAAUAAAGUAGAAAGUAUGCAUUCAGGGUAUUUUUAUGAAGCAUUUAUUGAUCUUGCUAUAUUUUAAGCAUUACUGUUCUUCCCGUAUUGCAGGAGAUGGAGCAGACCAGAAGUGCUGUAGAUGAAGACAGAAAAAUGUAUCUUCAAGCUGCUAUAGUCCGUAUCAUGAAAGCACGUAAAGUGUUGCGGCAUAAUGCUCUUAUUCAGGAGGUAAUUAGCCAAUCGAGGGCUAGGUUUAACCCAAGUAUCAGCAUGAUUAAGAAGUGUAUUGAAGUUCUGAUAGACAAACAGUACAUAGAACGAAGCCAGGCCUCUGCAGACGAAUACAGUUAUGUAGCAUGAUGUUGCUAUCCUGCAGGUAUGACUGUAAGGAGAUCAUUGCUGUCACUGUUUGGUGUGUUCCUGUGGGAAGAGGCAGGCCUGUGCCUCCAUAAUUGGUCACUUGGCAGCCCCUGUUUUUCUGCUGUUUACAACAUCACCAGUGCCAUGUCAUGAGCGUCAAUGAAAAUGCCUAUAGAUAUUUCAAGCUCAUGUCAUUAUGACAUUUCUUAAACUUUACUAAAAGAAUGAGUGAAGUAUUGCUGAAAUGUGGAAAAUUGGUUGGAUACCAUGCUUUUUUUUUUCCCCCCCUCCCCUUUCACGUUUGCAGUUGAUGUUUUUUAAUGUAUCUUAAGACAAAGUUAAAAAAAAAAGAAAAAAACCUAAAUAUUGUAAUAUGACAGAUAACCUAAUAAUUGUAUCUACAUUAAAAUGUAAAAAAAAUGACGAACAUGAUACUGCUGCUUGUCAAAUAAAAAAAUAAAGUUAUAUAA
Pezoporus flaviventris is the source of this 3801-nucleotide RNA transcript. It is a transcript of the gene named cullin 2, with no coding region annotated. The transcript has 21 exons. Lineage: Eukaryota; Metazoa; Chordata; Aves; Psittaciformes; Psittacidae. The record is from RefSeq and is a predicted model, not a curated record.